CCUACGGGAGGCAGCAGUGGGGAAUAUUGGACAAUGGGGGGAACCCUGAUCCAGCGACGCCGCGUGAGUGAAGAAGUACUUCGGUAUGUAAAGCUCUAUCAGCAGGGAAGAAAAUGACGGUACCUGACUAAUAAGCCCCGGCUAACUACGUGCCAGCAGCCGCGGUAAUACGUAGGGGGCAAGCGUUAUCCGGAUUUACUGGGUGUAAAGGGAGCGUAGGCGGUCAGGCAAGUCUGAUGUGAAAGUUCGGGGCCCAACCCCGGGACUGCAUUGGAAACUGGUGAACUGGAUUACAGGAGGGGGAAGCGGAAUUCCUAGUGUAGCGGUGAAAUGCGUAGAUAUUAGGAGGAACACCAGUGGCGAAGGCGGCUUACUGGACGAUAACUGACGUUGAGGCUCGAAAGCGUGGGGAGCAAACAGGAUUAGAUACCCUUGUAGUC
This 440-nucleotide ribosomal RNA is filed under the name uncultured bacterium. RNAcentral describes it as "partial 16S ribosomal RNA". It matches the Rfam family "Bacterial small subunit ribosomal RNA", at positions 338 to 795 of the family's 1533-position model. The record is from RNAcentral.